CAGGACGCACCUGUGCCACAUGGGCAAAAGGACAGGAGGAAGAAGCCCGCCAUUGGAACUCAAGGCUAAAACUCUAGUAUAGCAUCGUAUUGCAUCCUGCAAAUCACAGAUGCAGGUGUGGCAUCACAUUGAGUGAGGUACUUUUAUGCGAGACGGAGUUCCUUCAAAAGAAAUUUUUACCGUAAAAUGAUGAGAAAGAGGGCAAGAAAGAAGUAAACUUCCAUUAUAUGUUAUCAUAGAUGUGAUGUCCCAAAGGGGGCAACAUUAACCCUGAACCUGUUACAGAGAUUGAGAUUAGUUUGAAGAGUCUAGAUGAAAAACCUGGGAGUUUCAAGAACAGGACUGUGCUAGCUACGGACAGUGUGGUUUCAUUAUGUAGAGGGUUGUUGAUAUGCUGGUUUAAAAAUGAUCUUACAGAAAAAAAGAAAAACGUGUUGAACUGCCCUACUAGAUAAUUAUGGUGCACAGUUCAUGGAAUGGCUUGGUGGCUGGAACUGAACUGACCAAUGUGGUGCUCCCAGCAGUGCAGUGCUACCUAUCCUCAUCUUUAUCAUAUGGACUCAAUACUGCCAUUCUCUCAAAAUUAGGUCUGACUUUAUCAAUCUGUUUACUAAAAACUUAUUCGUGGACUCGAUCCCACCCGUUUCAUCUUAGAAUUAGGUUCCACAAUAUUGAUCAUCUUACUAAAUGCCUAUUCAUGACCUCAGUCCCACCAUUCUUGUCUUAAAUUUAGGUCCCACUUUAUUGAUGGGUUUACUAAAUGCCUGUGGACUCGUUCCCACCAUUCUCGUCUUAAAAUUAGGUCCGUGUAUAUGUAUCGGUUUACUGAUUGGCUAUUCAUGGAUGCAAUCCCACCAUUCUUGUCUUAAAAUUAGGUCUGUCUCUAUGGAUCGGUUUUCUGAUCGACUAUUCAUGGACGCGAUCCCAUCAUUCUCGUCUUAAAAUAAGGUCCAUCUACAUGGAUCAACUUACUGAUAGGCUAUUCAUGGACGCGAUCCCACCAUUCUUGUUUUAAAAUUAGGUCUGACUAUAUGGAUCGACUUACUGAUUGGCUAUUUAUGGACGCAAUUCCACCAUUCUCAUCUAAGAAUUGUCUGAUUGUAUCAAUGAGUUUACUAAAAGCUUAAUCAUGGAAUCGUUCCCACCAUUCUCGUCUUAAAAUUAGGUCCGUCUCUAUGGAUUGGUUUACUGAUAGAUUAUUCAUGGACGCAAUCCCACCAUUCUUGUUUUAAAACUAGGCCUGUCUAUAUGGAUCAGUUUACUGAUCGCCUAUUUAUGGACGCGAUCCCACCAUUCUCGUUUUAAAAUUAGGUCCAUCUCUAUGGAUCGGUUUACUGAUAGAUUAUUCAUGGACGCAAUCCCACCAUUCUUGUUUUAAAACUAGGUCUGUCUAUAUGGAUCGGUUUACUGAUCGGCUAUUUAUGGACGCGAUCCCACCAUUCUCGUCUUAAAAUUAGGUCCGUCUCUAUGGAUCGGUUUACUGAUCGGCUAUUCAUGGACGCAAUCCCACCAUUCUCAUCUAAGAAUUAUGUCUGUCUAUCGAUGAGUUACCUAAACACCUAUUUGUGGACUCCAUCCCACCACUCUCAUCUUAGAAUUAUGACAAACUAAAUCGAUGGUUUACUGAAUUCCAAUUCAUAGACUCAACCCCACCAUUCUGGCCUUAGAAUUAGGUCCAAGUAUGUAGUAUACAUGUAUUCAGUAUACCAAAAGCCUACUCAUUGACUCGAUUUCACAAUUCUGAUCUUAGAAUAAGGUCCGACUUUAUGGAUCAGUUACCUAAAUGCCUUAAUUAGUUACAGUUGACAAAGUUCAUUAGUGCUGGUGGUUUUUACUUUGGUAUUUUUCUCGCUGUAUUUACAAUAUAUUUCUUUAGGGAGUGUGUUAUGUAUCUGCGGUAUGACAGUGGUUUUAUGUAAUUAAGUUUUAAUUGCAAUUCAAUACAAAAAGACUAUUUAACAGAAGCAAGCUUCAAUUGCUUUGCCUUCUAGGUCAACCAUUGGAAAUUAAGGCUUCGUUCACUUGAAAAAUCUAUUUUAUAAAAAUCUAUUUUACUAUUCAUGGU
This is a long non-coding RNA of Lingula anatina, 2065 nucleotides long. The record is from RefSeq and is a predicted model, not a curated record. NCBI's taxonomy places the organism in Eukaryota, Metazoa, Brachiopoda, Lingulata, Lingulida, Lingulidae.